AAUUUCCCAUGGCGAACUGCUCAGUAACAUAUGAUCAACUUACCCUAUUGAGAAAGAUAACCUCGGGAAACUGAGGAUAAUAUUUCAUAGUUGAAUUGGCUUGGAAAAGUUUUUCAACAAAAGGGAUAGGGAAAAUGGUCUCUAUCCGCUAUAGGAUAGGAUCGUGUUCGAUUAUGGUAGUUGGUGAGGUAACGGCUCACCAAGCCGAUAAUCGAUAGGGGCCGUGAGAGCGGGAGCCCCGAGAUGGGUACUGAGACAACGACCCAGGCCUUACGAGGCGCAGCAGGUACGAAACCUCCACAAUACACGAAAGUGUGAUGGGGUUACCCAAAGUGUUCAUUAUUGAACUGUGGUAGGAGAGUAAUGUCCCCUACUAGAAAGGAGAGGGCAAGGCUGGUGCCAGCCGCCGCGGUAAAACCAGCUCUUCAAGUGGUCGGGAUAAUUAUUGGGCUUAAAGUGUCCGUAGCCGGUUUGGUAAGUUCCUGGUAAAAUCGGAUAGCUUAACUAUCUGUAUGCUAGGAAUACUGCUAUACUAGAGGGCGGGAGAGGUCUGAGGUACUACAGGGGUAGGGGUGAAAUCUUAUAAUCCUUGUAGGACCACCAGUGGCGAAGGCGUCAGACUGGAACGCGCCUGACGGUGAGGGACGAAAGCCAGGGGAGCGAACCGGAUUAGAUACCCGGGUAGUCCUGGCCGUAAACGAUGCAUACUAGGUGAUGGUACGGCUAUGAGCCAUAUCAGUGCCGUAGGGAAACCGUUAAGUGUGCCGCCUGGGAAGUACGGUCGCAAGGCUAAAACUUAAAGGAAUUGGCGGGGGAGCACCACAAGGGGUGAAGCCUGCGG
Molecule: ribosomal RNA, 841 nt
Filed under: uncultured archaeon
Lineage: Archaea
Description: bacterial SSU rRNA
Rfam family: Archaeal small subunit ribosomal RNA
Source: RNAcentral